Non-coding RNA from Callithrix jacchus (white-tufted-ear marmoset), 1554 nucleotides. Lineage: Eukaryota; Metazoa; Chordata; Mammalia; Primates; Cebidae. The record is from RefSeq and is a predicted model, not a curated record.
UGGGCUGGGGUUCCUGUCCGCAGGCUUUGGGCUUUUAGAGUUACAACUGUAUAUCCUGCCCGUCUGACUUCUGUUUCAAAGCUGCUACCAGCUGUAAAGUACUUGACAUCUGGAUUUUGGAGGGUCAUGCUGGAGGGCUUGCUGAGCCAAGGUUUCUAAAUCCCCACCACUGCGGAUGGAGAUCCAAACGGAUGAGGCCACGGGGUCAUGCAGGGGGUCUGGAUUAAAACUGUUGCUUCCUCUGCAGGCCGGCAGGUGAACUGGAAACUUGAGUGGAUAGAGAACAGCUGGGAUCCCCAGGAGCAAGGGACUGUAGUGCGUUAGUGGAUUGCUUCUUUUUCCUAUCUAAAAUAAGGUGCACAAGCCUCGCUGAGAAGAAGGGCAGAGUCUUGGCUAUCAUCUGGUACAAAGCGAUGCCUGGGCUCCAAACAUCCAUGGCGGGGCAUUCGUAGCCCUGGCGCAGGAAGACCUCUGGGGCCAUGUAGAGAUACAGCCCUUGCCCUGCCGGCUGCCUGGGUAAGACCCACCGGGGAACCCCCUCGCCCUCCAACACACAGCCCAACUCUCCCUGAAUCUGCCUCCUGCAGUUGGAGCUCUGCCUCAGGAAAGAUUCAGGUGACUUCUUCCUCAGUACCAGUGCUGCGGACAUCAAGAUGACCUACCAGGAAACCAGGGCCAUCACCAUGGUCAGUUUGGGUCAUUGGUCCCCAGGGUGAUUUUCAUUCUUCAUCUGGGCCAUUGUGAUGGUCAUAGAUCGGUGUUUUAAAAGCUGUCACUUCAUCUCAUCAGCUAUGUCUAGCAAAGCUGUUAGUCUCUGAUUUAUUCUGCAACUUGAGUCAUUUUCGUGCUACCAUGGUGAUUUUGUUUUAUUUUUGAGACAGGGUCUCACUGUUGCCUGGGCUGGAGUGCAGUGGCAGGAUCGUAGCUCACUGCAGCCUUGACCUCCUGGGCUUAAGUGAUCCUCCCAACUCAGCCUCCGGAGUAGCUGUGACCACCAUCACCGGGCUGCGCACGCCACCACACCCGGCUAAUUUUUGUAUUUUUUGUAGAGAUGGGGUCUCACCAUGUUGUCCAGGCUGGUCUCGAACUCCUGGGCUCAAAAGAUCCACCAGCUCUGGCCUCUCAAAGUGCUGGCAUUACCGGUGUGACCCUCCGCACUCAGGCUACCUUUAUGAUUUCAUUCUAUGGCCACAAAGUACCCACACUGUUACCUCGUGGUUUCCUUUCUGUCAGUCUUUUCAUUAAAAUUAAAAUUAAAAUGCUAUUACGUAAGCAGCACUCCAACAACAAUAGAGAAAAUGGCUUUUAAAGAGGUUGCACCUUUCUCUGUUUCCCCAGGUUGAUUUCUUGACCCUCUCCCUUUUCUUGCAAGUGUCGACUUAUCUGUGCUCCAGGCAUGGAAGAGUUCCGUGUUCUGCUUUCCAUCAUCUUAUUCUAGUCCCACUAUUUCCCCAUGUUGACAGGGAGGCUGGCUGAUUGUUUUAUGUCGUCAUUUGUACUUUUGCCCUUCUUUUCUAAUCAGAGUGUUUGGAUGGUCAAAAUGUUCUCGUUCUU